RNAcentral lists this ribosomal RNA (253 nucleotides) under uncultured bacterium. RNAcentral's name for it is "partial 16S ribosomal RNA". It matches the Rfam family "Bacterial small subunit ribosomal RNA", at positions 524 to 776 of the family's 1533-position model. The record is from RNAcentral.
UACAGAGGUCCCAAGCGUUGUUCGGAUUUACUGGGCGUAAAGGGUGCGUAGGUGGCGGGUUAAGUUCGAUGUGAAAUCUCCGGGCCCAACCCGGAAAGGUCAUUGAAUACUAGCCGGCUAGAGGGUUGAAGAGGAGACUGGAAUUCUCGGUGUAGCAGUGAAAUGCGUAGAUAUCGAGAGGAACACCAGUGGCGAAGGCGAGUCUCUGGGCAACUCCUGACACUGAGGCACGAAAGCUAGGGGAGCAAACAGG